This is a long non-coding RNA of Acinonyx jubatus (cheetah), 14722 nucleotides long. RefSeq lists it as uncharacterized. The transcript has 2 exons. Lineage: Eukaryota; Metazoa; Chordata; Mammalia; Carnivora; Felidae. The record is from RefSeq and is a predicted model, not a curated record.
GGGGGGGGGGGCGGGCAGGGCAUGAGCAGAGCUGCACGCUAGCAGGUCCAGGCCCCAGUUGGGUCUCUGACUACAAAGAGCCUCGGCCUGGGAGACUCCCUGGGGGACCUCGGGCCUUGGCUUCCCCAGUGAACAGAGAGCAGCUGGACUUGAUGCUGCUAAAGAUGCUUUGUAACUGAGCUCUCUGAGCGGGGGUGUGGGAGAGAGACAGAGGGCGAGAAAGCACAUGGUUUCUUGCAUGUGGGCACCAAACCCUUCCCAGGGCUGCUCACCCACCCCAGGACCUGUCCUGGGACCACCCAGUGUGGCCUGAGCCGGCACGGCCCCCGGGAGCAUUUGUUGUGUGUCGGGGGUCACCGGUAACCCUGUCUCACUUCUGUCACCCUCAGUAGUUCCCUGGAGACCAGAAGCAGCCUGUCCACUGACUGCUACGGGUACCGUCGCUCCCUCCACUCUGGGCCCACUGUUCCCAUCGGCACCGCGGGUGGGCCCCAGGAGGCAUCAAGGGAAAUUAGUCCCCCCAUUGGGCCCUCAAACUCCCCCAGGGACCAGCAGUACUGCUGACACAUCCCCUGAGGACUAGUCCAGCUAGGAAUGGUCCCUCAGGGGCUCGGCUAAGGGUUCCUCUGAGAACCAAGGCUGGUGGUCCCUCUGAGGGCCAGCCCACAGCUGCCCGUUCCCGUGACGCCCAGGCUGCAGCCCAGGGGCCAAGCGGACGCUUCCAGUUGGUUUUCCGAUCGCGGUUCGUGGAAGCCGGGGUGUCUGAGGACCUCUGCCUUCACAUGGCUUUUGGAUCUUGUCGUUUCUACGAGAUGUCUUCAGAAGGAGGCAUUGUCUAACGUUACAAGAAGGGGCCAGAGACUGAGGCACACAGGAAGGUCCCCUGGAUCGGAGGUCAGCCGAUCUCUGCUCACAGGCUGGGGCCACAAAAGACCAGGAAGGGGCAGCUGGCUGGCCCCGGCGCGACGUUGGCAUGGGGAGCCACGUCCAGUGUAGCGGCAUGAGUCGGGGAGGGGUGGACUGGGCCACGCCGACUGGAAAUAGGCGCGUCCCUCUCCGUGGGCGGGAGAUGCACCACUGCCAGGAAAGGGCAUAUACCCGGUGAGGAGCCACAGGGCUGGAUGUGGCCGGGUGUGCCCAGCCAGGGAGGGUGAGGCAGAGGGCCCGGCGGAGCUGAGUUGCACCAAGGGGCCCGAACGGCCGAAAGCAGGCCCAGUGGCCUUAAGCCCCCUGCACUGGCGACACGACAGGGCCUGGGCCCCCUGUGCAGAGGGCGGGUCUAGUAGUUGCUCCCCUGGGACGAGAUGGUCAUGGCCACCAGCUCUGAGACCCUAAAGCUGCCUGAGGCUGUGAGAAGGGCAGAGGGGUGCUUUCCUGAGCCAGCGUGGGGCUGGCGGCUGCCGGCACACUCCAAUAACCCUGUAGGGGGACGCUCCACGGCCACAGCCACACGUGACGCUAACAGGCGUGCGCGGGUGCCGCGAAAGCUGACGGUGUCCUACUUCCUCACGAGCACUCGGAACGGGUUGGUGUUAGCCCGUUUCACAGAAGUCGCUGGUUCAGGAUUCUCAGCUGGCCAGCAGAGCCGGACUUGAACCCAGAUCCUGCUGUGAACGCUGCCCAAGGCCACAAUACACUCCUUGCCCCCGUGGACACACCUCAUACCCUCAGCUCUUGGCACAGCGCUUUGCACAGUCUCACACACACCGCGUGCAGAGCAUCGGCACCCUCCAUUCCUCACACGGGCGGACCCUCACUCCAUCCCUCCUGUGCGUGGACUCACCCCCCCCCCCGACCCCUGGCCACGCUCUGUUUUUGCAGGCUCACAGCUGGACGCCCCUGCCUGGCCGGCCCGGGGUGCUGGGCAGGUGUAUGGGUGUCUGUGGCAGAACGGGCUGAGCCCAGGGUGAGAGGCUCACGAAACUCCUGUAAACCAGCUGAGCCACCGGCUUCUCUGAAAGCCACCAACAUGUCAGAUGGCGGUGUGGCUCCACCCGCUUUGUCUACCCCCGCCAGCCAGCUAGUCAGCACUCUGCUAGGGGCCAGGCCGGAGAAGCCUCUGGAACGAAGGGGGGCAGGGGGUGAGGCUUUUGUCCCAGAGUGUCUGGGGGUUGGGUGGGGACUGUCACGUGUCCCCCUGCCCCCUCAGGUUUAACCCAGACCCAGCUCUCGCCAGGCCUGGCAGGCGGCCAUGGUCAGGGAGUGGCCAUAGUAAUCACCCCCCUGAGGCUGGCCACACUUGGCCAGUGCCUUCACAGUCCUAGAGGACCAAGCUAGGGGUCAGAGCAGACAGCAGGACCACCCUCAGCUCUGCCCUUUCCCCUCCUCCCCCCAGCCCUUAUUUCAGGUGUCAGGUGCUUGCUACACCAUGGUCAACAGCGCUGCCUUUGCUGGGCUACUGUGUCAGGCGGGGGAUCAGGCAGCAAAGGAACAAAGGAAUCAGGUUUUAAUAUACUGUGUCGGGUGGCAAAUGCUAUGAAGGAAAAGAAAUCGGGGUGAAGGGGACAGAGAGCGAUCGGAGGGUGGCCAGGGAAGGUCUGUGAGGAAGUGCCGUUUAACCAGAGACCAGAAGGAACGUGGGGGUGAGUCCCAUGACUGGAGGAAGCGCAUCCAGGUGGUGGAGAUGGCCAGUGCAAAGGUCCUGCCUGAGGUGGCGCAUGCUUGGCCCAUUUGAGGAACAGAAAAGAGGCAGGCGCUAAACAGGAUCUGCCCCCAUUCCUGUGAUCCUGCAGUCCCACGCGUCCUGACUUCUGACCCUCACAGCAGCCUUGGGACACAGGCAGAGCCAGGCUCGACGUUCGCAUUUCACAGAUGAGGAAAACUUGAGAUGCAGAGACCAGAGGAAUAUUGGUGCCAGAUCCAGGCCUGGGACCCAGGGCCCUCACCUACCCCUACCACCACCUGGCCUCUGUGCCCUUUUCGUGCAGCAGGGUCACCAGCUCUGCUGUGGGAGCCUCUGGGAAACCUGGCCCUCAGGCCCCAGUGGAGGGGAGGAGGUGCCAUUCGAGGUCCUGGAGGCCCCAUUCACGGCUUGGGAAUUCAGAAACAAAGGUCCCAGCCAGUAAUUGCCUCCUUUCAAAGGCACAGCCGGCUUCCUCUGCCACAGGCGUGAGGGGGAAGCUGAUGUCCUUGUCCGGGGGAGAGGGGCGGGGCAGCACUCCACGGGGCCUGUGCUACCUUGGCAAACAGGCCAACAGGCUCAUCACCCUUGGCAGAUGGCCACUGUCACCCUCCGUCCCCAUCUACCCCGCAGUUACCAGGCCGGUUAUCCAGUGGCUCGUCUCUCCCCAGCCCCAGAACAGCGUGGGGCUUCCUGGGUCCAGCUUGGACCCAUCCUGUUGAUGCUGGGUGUGCCCUUUCCCUCACUGGGCCUCCCUCUCCUUGUUUAUACAAGAGGAGGCUUGGACUGAGCCAUUUUAAAUGCCCUUCCAGUUCUGACUGUCCACGAUGGGACAUUUCUGAGAGAGCUACUCUCCGAAGCAGGGGAGGGAUCAUUCUCUGGCGUGGGGGCUCUCCUGAGCCCUGGGGGAUGUUCAGCAGCAUCGAAAUGCCACUAGAUGCCAGUAGCACACUCCUUCCCGGUUGUGGCCACCCCAGACUUCUCCAGACAUUGCCAAGUGUCUCCUGGUGGCGAGGGGGACGGUGCCCUAACAGCCGCUGGGUGAGAAGCUCUGCUCAGCAUGUUUGCCAACAGCAGACAGAAAACUGCCCUCCUGAGCCCGUUGACCUUGUUCUUGGGCUUUGCCGGAGCACGGGGCUGGGGUCAGGCCCCUGAAGCCUGGCAGGCUUGCUCAGCGCCGGCUCCCAUCUGCGGCCGAUGUCUCCUGGAUGUCACCCCUCACCCACGGGCAUAUAGUCUUUUCUGAGCCUCAGCUUCCCCAUCUUCCAGCAGGGGAGGGUUGUAAGGAUGCCGAGGGACCACCGCUUUGUAAAUGAUGUUGAGCAAACCGGGGACCUGAAGGAGCAGAGGUGUGAGCGUGCUGUGCUUUGUGGGUCCAGACCCUUCCAUUCUGCUACCCAAGAUCCUUUGUUCCUUCAACUAAUGAUGACAGGGUGCCAGCGGUGGGCGAGGCGUGAGGCUGGCCCAUGAGCUGGGCUGUGAAAGGAGGGGCGUGGGCCCUGCCCGGGAGAUGCCCAGGAGAUGCUCGUGCCUCAGCCACAGCAGAGAGGCAGAAGACGAGUGAAUAAAUGGGAUCGUUUCAGAGGAUGGCAUGUCCAGGGGAGAGAAUGAGACAGGGUGUAGGGUGAAGGAGGCUCGGAUGGUCAGAGAAGGCUCUGAGGAGGUGUUGGAGGUGAUACCUGUUGGAUGAUGAGUCUCUGCCCUGGGGGAGGGGGCACCCCCAGCAGAAAGCCCUGCACAGAAGACCUGAAGGGGGUCAGGGGGUGCGAAGGGGGCCAGGUGUCUGGGAGUCGGGAGCCUCAGAGAGGUCAGAUGGUAUGGUGUGUCAGUCCAUCAGCAGGAGCCGGUCACCAGUCGGGAGUUUGGCCUUUAUUCUGAGAGCAGCGUGGGGCCACAUGAGGGUGUGGCCAAAUGACACGAAGGUCCCUGUGGCUGGUGUAUAGGGAAUGGUCCCUAAAGCGGUCAGAGCAGAACCAGGACCCACAGGCAGGGAUGGAGAGAGAGGCCCGGCUGGUGCUUCUGCUCCGUUGCCUGUGACUGCCAGGUCCUGAGGCCGCCGAGCCACCCACUCUGCCUGUCCCCCCCCCCCCCCGCAUCCCCCCACCCCGCUCCUGCCCAGCAGCCCCUGGCUGGCCUCGGCCCCUCAGCCCAGCCCAGCAGCUCCUCUCCCUGCCUCCCUCACUAGCUACAGGAGUUCCCCUCCCGGCAGCCAAUGAGCAGCUGUCAUCGAGGUUCCAUUUUAGAUUUUAUCAAUGUGUCCCUGUCGCCCGGGCAACCGCUCCUGGCGGCCCUGUCAGUCUUUCUCCGCCUGCCUUUCAGAGCCAAGCUGCUCCCACCCACACCAUGUGGCUAUGUGGUGAGUUCUCGCUCACUCGGGCCGGACCAGGAUUCCACCAAACGUAAUUGAUCUGGGUGUCAAGGUCAGCGUUUGUCUGUCAUUUCGCCCCCUCCUUGCCUCACGCCCGGGUCUUUGGGGCCUGAGCCACUCUGGGCCAGGCAGGCAGGUGGCCGACUGCCCGGCCAGGUGCAGGCACGGCCGCCAAGUGUCCGGGGCCUGGCUGGAAGAAGGGGCUUGGGGAACGGCCAUCAGGAGCCCCCAGCAUCCAGGCCCCCCAGGAUGACAGUCCAGGGGCCCCUGCAGCUGGGCACAGCCAGGGCUGCCUCGGCGUACCCUGGGGACCCGCAGAGGAGCCCCAAGAAGAACCAGCCGCCAGAGACAGCAGCAGUCUAAGACUGGCCGGGUGAGCCGCACCAACGAGUUGCUAGGCUUUUGUGCGCGCUGCUCUUUGUAUUGGAGGCGUGUGCUCUAGGAGCGGGCUGGGCAGGGCCGGGCCAUGUGAGUGGGGGCUGCGGUGGGACCAGGGUGGGCCUGCGUGGCCAGUCCCCCAACCACCCCCAAACCCUCUCCAACCCCGGUGGAGGAGCCACAGUGGUCCGGCUGGAGACUGAAAGGUGAAAAUGCUCAAGUUCAAGGCCUUUUGCCUGGAUUACUGGCAGUUCCUGUGCCUGCAGCCGCUGCAUGGAGUCUAUAAAAGGUAUGUGGACGGUCUGGGGAGGACCUCUGCCAUAGGGCAGGGGGCUGUGAGGUAAAGUCCCCCCCACACCCUGGCCUGCCCACUGGAGGGCCUUCCCAGGUCGGCCCAGGGUCCUUGCCACUGGCCAAGAACGGCGGCGGCCUGUGCUGUGGGUCACUUUGCAACUUGGCGUGAUUGUCCCCUCCUCUCCCUCCGGCCCUGAAACCGGUAAGCUUUCUGCAGGGAAGUGGUCACCCCAGAGUGUUCUGUGGCCAAAUGCUGCUUUCAUUGUUUCUUGCUGUUGGGGUCCUCCCUGGAGUGGACUUGAUCCUGGGCAGGUGUGACCCCACAGGAGGGCAGCCUGGCCCUGCCAGGGUACAUUCCCUCCAGCCUAAUGGGUGGCUCAUCUGAUUAACAGGCAUGACUACCUGGAUACCAAGCAGGAAUUUGAGAACUGUUUGGGGAGGCUGAAUGGGGGAUUCCUGGUCUGGAGGUCAGGAGACCAGACUUCAAGUCCCUUCCCUUGCUGUGUGACUUUGGGCAGGCUGCUUUCCCUUGCUGAGCCCCGGUUUCCCCAUCUUUAGGUAUUUGGAACUGAUAACAGCAGCAUUUGGGGACUGCUCCCUGAAAUGAUGCAGGCUGCCAACACCAUGCGUUCAAAUGUUAACAAACCUGACAAUAUGGUCUGCACGUGUGUUCUGUCCGCUCGCACCCCUUGGCCGAGAAACACCGGUGCCUAGGCCAGCAGGAGGGGCAUCGUGGAGCCAUCCCCGUGGUCGCCUUGAAAGAUCUGGGAGGAGGGAAUCAGAAUACCAGCUAUUCUGAGGGAAUUAGUUUUUCCUGAUUUCACACUCUGUGAAUUCCAUGGGCAUUAGCAUGCGAGCAGUUCUGGGAAAGUGUGGGAGCUUUUCUUUUCUCUUCCAGGGGCUUUCUGCAAAGGGGGCGGGCACUGAGGGUCUCACGGCAGCCUCAGAAAGGAAGUCCCUACUCUUGGGCGGGUGCCAGCGACAGAGGCCUGUCCUGCAUCUGAUUAGCACGGCCACAUCUGAGCGGAAGGCCACACCAGGUGGGAUGUGCACGCUGUGCAGGUGGAUGAGUCUUCACCCCCCACUUUGGGGAGUUUGUUGUUAGAGCCUUGGGGCACCUGGCGUAUUCUGGCUGUUGGUUAUUGACUGCUGAGGGCGGGGCACUUUACCUGAUCGUUAAACCCUCAUCCCUUCUGCAAAAGGGGCAUUAAGCCCCCGCUUUGAGCAGGUGAGCCGAGGGAGAAUGAAGGGCAGGUAGCCAAGUCAGCGGGGCCACAGUAUUUGGAACUAAGGUCUCUCUUGUCCCAAGACCAUCUCUCCGGAGUACUCACGGCUUGAGGCCUUGCAGCACACCGGGGUCUUGGAGUGAGAGGGAUGACUGAGGCACAGCCCCGGCCCACAGGGGCUCAGCUGGACGAGGGAGGAGUUGUCAUGGACAGAGGACCAGGGUGUGGGGGCUCCACAGAGCAGGUGACAGCUGAGCGGGCAGGGAAGUGUCUGGAGAAGCUGGCAGGGCCGAGAAGGAGAAGGUUGGUGUUGUAGGCAGAGGGAAAAGCACGUGGAAAAAAACCCAGAACUUUUCAAAGGGCAGAUGUCUCCAGGUGGCAGCAAAAGACCAUGGAGCUAGGAGAGGGUAUCUAGGAUUGGAGUCCGGGACCAGGGGGUGGGCUCUGUGCUGCACACAGUGAGGACCCCAUGACGAGUGUAGGGAAGAAGUGACACAUUGAGAGUCACCUCUGGGGGUCGCAUGCUCUUUGUGAGGGGCAUGGCUCAGCCUCCAGGGGGAGCUGGUGAGAGACCUCUUGGCCCCUGCCCGCCGUGGGAGGAAUAGAUACAGAGUUGGGGCUCUUUUCCCAAGCCCCUACUGCAGCCCAGAGACAGUUGGGACAUGGGCCUCAAGGAGCUCCCAGCCUCCAAGGGGGAAACAGACCCACUAAACAAGCCAUGAAAAUUAAGGAUGGGAGAUCGAGGUGGCACAAAGAUACUAGGAGCAUGAGGGAGGGUAUCUGGGAGAAAUCAAGGAAGGCUUCCUGCAGGAGGUGGCAUCUGAGCUGAUCGUAGAAGUGGGAUUUUUCCAGACAGGGAAGGGCAGAGAGCACAGUUUAAACAUAAGGAGGUAGGACCGAGCCUGGCAUGGUUCAGAAAUGGCCAAAGGAGAGGCUGAAGGGUAGGAUACAUAUAAGGGAAUGAGCCUAAAAAGGAAGGCAGAAUAGGUGACCAUAAUACCGAGACUCACUGAGUACCUGCUACAUGUGAGGCCCGGUUCUAAGCCCCGACUCUGCAGCAACCCAAUGAAGAGGCGGACACGAUUAUCCCAUUUUCCCGCUGAGGGAAACUGAGGCACAGGAAGGAGAAGUAGUUUGCCCCGAGUCACACGACCUGUCAGUGGGACCAUCAGGAUUUCACCAGGCGGCCCAGCUGUGGAGGCUACCCACUGCCAGCUGAGGAGUCCCAACUAUGCACCCCAGCAAAUGAGAAGCUCAGGGCCGGGUCAGUCUUCUAUCAGUGACCAUAAAUAAAGGUGACACGUCAGUCAGGUAGAUACGAACUUGGCUUUAUGGUCCGGCCUUAUCCCAGCAGAGGGCUCAGAGAGUCCCUUUCCCUGCAAGCCUGCCCCUGUGCAAGGUGGGACGCGUGCCAGCCCACCUCUCACUGCCCCUGGAGGGGCUGACGGGGUCAACUCCAGGAAAACGCUUACCACGCCGCGCUUAGUAGGGGCGUGGGAAAUGGGGGCUGUCCUUGCCCCAGGAAGGCUUUGCAAAUGGAACCACUUGGCUUUUUUCCUGAUGCCAUAUUCCGUUGUUUAAAACAGCGACCCAAAACUUAAGAGUAUGAAAAGGAUGUUUUGCAGACAAUGCAUAAUUAACCACUUCUAAACACAGGGUGUGCCAGGCUCCCUUGAAGCUGUUAAUUAUUCUUCAUUAGGGAUCUUAAAUUAAUGUAAAAUAAUCCUGGAGCUCUGCCAGAGGCUGGGGCUGGGGGAGGGGCGGAGCUGCGUAUUUCAACCAGAGAAUGAAAGAAUGUUCCUAGGGACUUCUGCAUGCCGCCUGGGUGGAUGGGGACCCCGCGGACCCUUCAGCUUUGGCCAAGCGGCCAUUGUGGGAGGACACAGCCCUCUCCCCAGUCACCAGAGCCCAGCAGACCUCAGGGUACUCUUUCUUAUUAAUGAAAUAGGUGCAGAGAAUAUAGAGAGUAGUAUACCCACCUCCUGCCUUCAGAGACAAAUUGUCACCGAUGUGGCCCCUGUGGACCUCCCUCAAAUCCCAUCCCACCCCCGCUCCCCCUGGAGCUAAAUCUAAGCAGAGCAACACCCCCCCCCAUUUCAUCUGUACAUUUCCCAUGCACAUUCUUAUAACUUUGUCCACACAAAAGGCUGUUGUACAUGUUUUUAAACCCCAGGUACAUGAUGCAAUCUGCACCUCGCUUUAAAAUUUUUUUUAAUUGUAGUAAAGUACACAUAACUUAAAAUUGACCACCUUAGCCGGGUUUUUUUAUUUUUUUUUUUAACGUUUAUUUGUUUUUGAGACAGAGGGAGACAGAGCGUGAACGGGGGAGGGUCAGAGAGAGGGAGACACAGAAUCCGAAACAGGCUCCAGGCUCUGAGCUGUCAGCACAGAGCCCGACGCAGGGCUUGGACUCACAGACCGCAAGAUCAUGACCAGGCGCCCCCACCUUAGCCAUUUUUAAGUGUCCAGUUCAGUGGCAUGAAGUACCUUCACAUUUUGCUGCACACACAUCAUCACCAUCCAUCUCCAGGAUUCUUUUCAUCUUGCAGCCCCUCCCAAAACUCUGUCCCCACUAAACACGAGCCCGCCGUUCCCUCCUCCCUCAGCCCCCGCAAACCCCAUCCUACUUUCUGUCUCUGAAUUUGACCACUCCGGGGCCUCAUGUACGUAGUAUCAUACAACGUUUGUCCUUUUGUGACCGGCUUAUUUCACUUAGCACAGUAUCCUCGAGGUUCAUCCACGUUGUAGCGCGCCUCGGAAUUUCUUUCCUUUUUAAGGCUGGACAGUACUCCACUGUAUGGAUUGACCACACUUUGUCCAUUCCUCAGUGGACACUUGGGUUCCUUCCACCUUUUGGCUACUGUGAGUAAUAGGACUAUGCACGUGGGUGUACAGAUAUCUCUUCAAGAUGCGACUUGCUGUUUUCACUCAAUGUUUAUUGGUGAGAUUCAUCCAUGCUGCUACGUAUAAUUCUCAUUCACUCGUUUUCACUGAUGUGUGGUAUUCCGUUGUAGAAAUAUGCCUUGUGCAAUGAUCUGUUCUGCUGUUUUAAGGUAUUCAGGUGGUUUCCUGUGUUUUGAUGUUACAGGCAGGGCUGUGGUGAACACUCUCGUGCGUAACUCCUUGCUCCCGUUUGCAGAGUUUCUGCAGGGUUUGUAACCAGGGCAGUACAUGAGUGUCUCAACCGUCACUGAGCUUUGUGAAAGUGCUUUCCAAGGUGGUUUCACAGCGGGCAUCCUCACCAGCAGUGGGUGAGAGUCCCCGUGUCUCCACAUGCUUGCCUUCACUCGGUAUUAAAAGCCAAAUGCUAUUUUUGGUGUCAAAAGGAGAGAAGGAGACAGAGAGGAGAAGGGGAGAGCCGUGUACAUGAUGUGGGACGUCCUGAAGGGGAGGGUGAGACACGCAUGACUGGCUGCCUCGAUCUGUGUAGUCCCGGGUCCCCCAUAGUAAGGAAUUUUCCAGAGUAAUUGUAACUCUGCAUGUUCACUUGCCCCCGGACUGACUCCGUAACCUCACCUCUGAGCAGAGUGUGACUGUUUGGUUACAAAUGUAGCACCAGGACGGAGCGCCUGGGUGGCUCGGUUAACUGUCCAACUUCAGCUCAGGUCAUGAUCUCACGGUGUGUGUGUUCGAGUCCCGCAUCGGGCUCUGCGCUGACAGCGUGGAGUCUGCUUGGGAUCUUCUGUCUCUGUCUCUGUCUCUGUCUCUGUCUCUGUCUCUCUCUCUCUGCCCCUCCCCACUCAUGCGCUCUCUCUCUCUCUCUUUCACGAAAAUAAUAAAUAAACGUUGAAAAAAUUUUUCAACAACAAACAAAUGUAGGACUAGUUCAGAUGAUACCAUUUAUCAACUUGUUUCCUGAUGGGCAGGUUUCACUGACCACCUCUGUUGGAAAUAACCAAAGGCCAGAUGUGCCAAAACCACAGCGUGAAGAAACUCACUUUGGAGAGAGCUCCCUAAGCCUUGGCCACAGUGAGCGAACUUAGCGGGCUGACAGCUUCAAGCAUGCAGCCCCGGGAACUGAACAGGCAGGACUUCUGGGGCCGCUCAGAGGGCACGGGGUGCCCCCACCGCACACCCAAGUCCCAGGCCUCAGCCCGUGGCUGGUGAGGUUCGGUCUGUUGAGGAGAAACUUGGCAGUGAGACCCUGGAUGCUCUGUGACUUGAGGGGACAGGGCAGGCUCUGCCGUCAGGCUGACCGGGAAUCUGAUCUGGCUGGUCCCUUUGAGAAUAAUCAUUGCUAUUAUUCCUUACUUUCACUGGGCAUUUACAGGUGCUAAAUGCUUUUCAUGCCCUGUCUCCAUUCGUCCUCCCACAGCCUUAUGACAUAGAUAACUGUUAUUUUCCCCAUAUGUCUGAUGACGAGAGGCUAAGUGCCCUACCUAAGGUGACAGAGUGUGGGCAGUCCAACCCAAACGAUGGACCCCACGAGGCUGCCCUGCCCCACUCGCUCUCUGCGUUGUUUAAAGCCUCUUGCCUCCGUGCAACUGUUCCACUAGUUGUGGCUGCCUAGCAAAUUACCCCAGAACGUGAGGACUUGAAACAGUGACCGUAUUUGUCCUUCCCGUGGGUCUGGUCUUUGGGUGGGCCCUGUUCUACGCCCAUCAGACGGCGUUUCUUGAAGACUGGAGGCGGGACUUCUCAGGAGCCCCGCCCACCCGCCCGCUCACCCGGUCGCUCACCUGGCAGUUGCUGCUGGCUGUUGGCUGAAACACCCUUACGGGCCCCCCGCAUGUGUCCUGGGCUCCUCACCCAUGGUGGCUACGCCCCCAGAGUUAGCUUUCCUAGAGAGAGCCACGUAGGAGAUGUGUCACCUUUCAUGACCUCAGAAGGCAAGCGGUAUCACUUCCGUUGCGGUCCGUUCCCUGGGGCAUCACAGAGUCCUUCCCACAGCCAAGGGGGGUGCGACUUACGCCCCUUGUCCUGACCAGGAGUUGCAAGGUCUGGCCCAGCUAUGGGGCCAUCCUGGGAGGUACUGUCCGCCCCGGUGACCGACCAAGAUACUUCUGUCCUGAGCCGAAACGGGCUUAGGAAGAACACCUGGGACGCAGUUGGAGCUUGACACAUCACAGAUCUUCUUUUUAGUAAUGAAGGUGAGGGGUGUCCACAUCUUUGGCUAAACAUCCUUCUGAAUGUAUCUGUGACAGUGUUUCUGGAUGAGAUGAACAUUUGAAUCAAUAGACUGAGCAAAGCAGAUUGCCCUCCCCAGCGUGGGUGGGCCUCGUCCAAUCAGUUGAAGGCCUGAGUAGAGCACAAACUCCCCCUGCCUGCCUGCCCUUGAGCCCUGCCUCUAGACUCCCGCCAACACCUCGGCUCUUCCUGGGUCCCGAGCCUCCCAGCAUUUGGACUGAAACUCACCAUCAGCGUUCUGGGUCUCCAGCUUGCCGGCUGCCGACCUCGGGACUUGCCGGCCUUCCUAAUCGUUUAUGAUAAAUAAAUGUGUGCGUGUAUGUGUGUGUGUACACAGACACGUACAUCCCAUUGGUUCUCUUCUUCUGGAUGACCCUGAAUGAUUCACGGCAUGAGGACACAGGGAGAAGAGGCCAUCUAUCCACCAAGGAGAGAGGCCUCAGAGGAAACCAACCCAACCCUGUGGACACCUAGAUCUCAGACCUCUAGCCUCCAGAACAGAAAAAAAAAAAAAAUCAUUUCUGUUGUUUAAGCUCUCUAGUCCGUGAUACUUUGUUAUAGCGAACCUCUCUGUUUUCAUCUGUGAAGUGGACCCAAGGGUCCCUCCCCAGGCUUACCAUGAGACUGUCACGCACAAUGGGGUGAGGCCAGUGAGGCCCUCCCCAUGGGGCACAGGGUGGAAGCAGGCACCAGACAACCCUCAGCAAUCAAGCAAAUCAAAUGUCAAAAUCGUACCCAAAACAGGCUGCUGUUUGAUUUACGGUGCUGCAUCACUGGGCCAUGGGAAUGGUCAUUUCUACAGGGGGGCUGCAGCCCGGUGUCCCCCGCAGGCCAGGUUUGUGAGGGUUGGCAGUGAUGUGCAAAUAGACAGAGAACCCUGAGGCUGUGUAUAUGUGCUUUUAUUAUUAUUAUUAUUAUUAUUAUUAUUAUUAUUUUAAAGCCUUAUCAACCUUUUCACUUUGUUCAAGAUACAGCAUGUUCUUUGGGUAAGUGUAUGUAGGGGUGCACAUUUUUCCCUUCACAGGGGGCUCUGAUGUGGCUCUGCCCUGUGCUGUAGCUGGCCCUGAGCCAGCUGUCCACAUGCUGCGUUGUCCACUUUAAAGGGUCAGGCAGGGUGUUCUCCUCGGAAGGCCAUCCCGAGACUGCGUUUCCCUCUGGAUAUGUGUAAAGGAGGCUUAAGAAUGAGGGAUUGGAGGGGCGCCUGGGUGGCUCAGUCAGUUGAGUGUCUGACUUUAGCUCAAGUCAUGAUCUCACAGUUCAUGGGUUCCAACCCCACAUCGGGCUCACUGCUGCCAGCGUGGAGCCUGCUCUGGAUCCUCUGUCCCCCUCUCCCUCUGCCCCUGCCCUGCUCAUGCUCUCCCUUUCAAAAAUAAAUAAACAUUAAAAAAAAAAAAAGAAUUAGGGAUUGUUUCUCCAUAGAGGACAUCGUUAGGUCAGUUGGCAACUCUGAAUAAGAUUCGAGGAUUAGAUAAUAGUAUUGAAUCAAUGUUGAUGUCCUGACUUUGAAAACCGUACUGUGAUUGUGUCAGAGAACGUCCUUGUUUUAGGGCAGACACUCUGGAGUAGCGGGGGCUUGAGGUGGGCAACUUACUCUCAAAGAAUUCUGGGGAAAAAAAAGUACGUGUGUGUGAGUGGGUGUGGGUGUGCUUGUACGUGUGGAAGUGUGGGGCGGCGGGGGGGAAGAAAGAAAGACAAUAUGAUAAAGCAAAUUGGGUACAGUGUGAACGUGUGGGGAAUCUGGGUGAAGGAUACAAAGGGUUCUUUGUACUCUUCCCCCAACUUUCCUGUAAGGCUGAAAUUAACUCAAGAUACUUUUAAAAAUAGUGUCAGGGGUGACUGGGAGCUAGUUCACUGCUCAGGCUCUCCUUCUGCAGCCUCCUGACCCCAGAUUUCUCCUCUGUCUCCGUCCUAGACCUUCAGGUCUCAGCUGGAAUGCCACCUCCUCGGAGAGGGCCUCCCUGAUCACCCUGUCUGGCACAGCACCACCCUGUCCUACUUGUCAUCUUUCACGUCUGCCAGUUUUAUUUGAUCGCCCUCACCAGCAUCAGAAAUUAUCGUACCAUUUGCCUAACGGUUGUCUCUUCUGCCCCCUCCCUCCAAAUGUCAGCUCUAUGGAACUCUGUCUUGUCCCUGCCCCACACUCCCCUCCAUCCUCUGUGCCUGGCACACAGUAGGGCUGCAGGUCAAAAAACCCCGAGUCUUGUCCUUCCUGGUUUCCCCCUCAGACUUGCCAAGUGACCUUGGGCAGUGUCCCACCCGACUCUGGCCUUCCAUUUCUUCAUUUUGACCCCAGCUCUAAAGCUUUUGGACUGUGUGAUGCAGAAAGCCGCAGGCUGCUGCACCGUCUCAGUGUCCCCCAGCUGAGAUCCUCUCUGCUGCCGGGAUUGCUGGGCCCCUCACUGCUCCGUCCCCGAAGGAGGAAAGAGCAGAAGAAAAUGUGUUUCGUGCACCUGACCUGUCAGGACACUGUCCCCAGACAGUGGGCCCACAAGGAGAGUGGGUUCACUUCUCUCCCCUGGCUUCUUCAGAACAAAGACGGGGCAGAUUUUAAGCCCAGCGCCUUCGGCAGGAAACAGUAUCUGCCUGAAAUUGAAUAACAUUGUCUUGUUUUCAUGGUAACCUCUACUUCAGCAAGUGAUAUGAGUUUUCCAUUUGGGGGAGUGAUAUAAAGUUUCCUUUUAAAAUAAAUGUAUUCAGUAGUGAAAGCCA